This 1951-nucleotide long non-coding RNA is filed under the name Heterocephalus glaber (naked mole-rat). RNAcentral describes it as "lncRNA (ENSHGLG00100033906.1)". The stretch from base 1688 to 1759 matches the Rfam family "tRNA". The record is from RNAcentral. Lineage: Eukaryota; Metazoa; Chordata; Mammalia; Rodentia; Bathyergidae.
AGGCUUGGGGCACCCUGGGGGCUGCUGCCUGCCAGGUCCCUGUGCCCAGGGUAGGGAAGUUUCUUAUUUCUCCUGCUCCGACUUCCCCCUUUGAUUUAUUAUAGCCAUGAAAUGCUCUACUCUCUUCUCUUUUCCUUGCUGUCCCCCGGGGCUGGAGGAACACAGGCGUCCCCAGGCUCCGGGCCUUGGCCUGCUGCUCCCGUCUCCUCCUGAGGCCAGGGCUCGGGGGCCAGCAUGGAGAGGAUGCUGCUCACCCUUCCCCAGGUCUGGCCUUCUUCCAGGAGGGAGAGACCCUCGAGGCCUUGCCCCUGGAACUCGCCAGCAGACCAGGCUGGGAUGUGGUGCCUGGGAUCCCCCAGGUCCCCGAAUUCCAGCCUUCCCAGGAGGCCCUGAGCAGGCCCGCCAUGGGCUCUGGGAACUAAGCCAGCAUGCUGCUUUCUCACCUGGUCCUCAGAACCCGGGCAGCAGCCCUGUUGUCCCCAGUUUGUGGAUGUGGACACUGAGGCCUGAGCAGCCAGUGAACCCAAGGGCAGGGAUGGGAUCAGCAUCCAGGGCUCAGAGCUGCGCUCCCGUCUCCGCGGGGCUCCAGGAGCUUUGGAGAGGCUGACGGGGGAACGUGCACUGUGCACUGACUGCCCCCCCCCCCCCAUGCAGCCAAAGGCUUUCGCACAUCCACCGUCUGUCCUACGAGCCACGCUGCCCAGUGUGGCUGGCGACCUGCUGCGGACCGGGCCGGAGCCCGGGAGGAAAGGGCUCGCCCGCCGGGGCCCACAGGCCUGCUGUGGGCGGAGACCCCGGAUGUCCAGACAGCAGGGGUGGCGGCCGUGGCGCGGGGACGCCGUCCUCCGGGAGCAGCCGGGGUGUGGGCUGCCGUGGUGUCGGGCGGAAGUCGCUGUGGGUGGUGGUGGGUUUGAGGUGCAGGAGGCUGAGUGAUGUGGCGGGAGGUGAGCGCCCAUCCUCAGCCUGGUCAGCAGGAGCCGCGAUCCCAGCCCCAGGACUCAGGAGGCCCUGGCGCCCGGGUCCGUGGGUGGGGGCAGGAGCUAUGGCACCGUGGACGGACAGAGGAGGCCGCAGUCCGAGGGGCAGCCUGGAGGAGCCCGCGGCCUCGGAGGAGAGGCGUGUGGUGGGGGCCGGGCCGCGCGGCUGCCGGGAGAUUGAGAAAGAGCUUCUGGGAACGCGAGCCGCGGCUCUGGGGCGGGAGGGGCCGGUCCAGCUCAGGGCCCAAAGGCCUGGGCUCCAGCCGGGGCCCGGGGAGACCUGGAGGUCCGGACCGCGGGCUCCUGUCUGGCUUCUGUAAAAUAGCGCCUAGGAGGCCUGCGGCUUCGGACAGGGCAGAGGAGGGCGAGCAGGGGACCCCGGGGACUCGGCCAAGGCCACCCUCCCCGCGUGCACCCAGCCAGGCCUGGGUCUCAGCUGCCCAGGGCCCAGGUUCAACUUCCCUGGGCCCCGGUGGGCCAAGCCUCUCUAAAUCACAAGUAACAUGAGGGAUCCAACCCAGGGCCUUCACAUUCCCUCUACCCCAGCUCUUUUUUGUAUUUGGAGAAAGCAUCUCACUAAGUCACUCAGUUGCCAGGCUGAGGCAGGAGGAUUGCUGCAAGUUCAAGGCCAGCCUGGGGUACCUAGUGGGUUCAAGGCUGGUCUGGAUUACAUAGCAGGACUCUGUCUCAAAAGACAAAGAAAAGGGGCCGGGGAUGUAGCUCAGUGGCAUAGCACCUGCCUGGCAAACACAAGGUUGUGAGUUUGAUCCCCACUACCCUCAAAAAAAGCAAAAAAAGAAGAAAGAAGAAAGAGGAAAGGUGCCCAGUACUGGCAGCCUUGGUUCUUUCCUGCUGUGCAUGCCCCACCGUGACCCCUGCAUCGACUGUCACCGCCAACAUGGCCCUGUGCUAUCGUCGCCCUCUGUCCUCCAAGAGCAGACAUGAGGGUAGGGCCGCCCCACGGGUCCCCUGGC